RNAcentral lists this ribosomal RNA (1376 nucleotides) under Plantibacter cousiniae (nom. nud.). RNAcentral describes it as "Plantibacter cousiniae 16S ribosomal RNA". It matches the Rfam family "Bacterial small subunit ribosomal RNA". The record is from RNAcentral. Lineage: Bacteria; Bacillati; Actinomycetota; Actinomycetes; Micrococcales; Microbacteriaceae.
AGUCGAACGAUGAAGCCCAGCUUGCUGGGUGGAUUAGUGGCGAACGGGUGAGUAACACGUGAGUAACCUGCCCUUGACUCUGGGAUAAGCGUUGGAAACGACGUCUAAUACCGGAUACGAGCUUCCACCGCAUGGUGAGUUGCUGGAAAGAAUUUUGGUCAAGGAUGGACUCGCGGCCUAUCAGCUUGUUGGUGAGGUAAUGGCUCACCAAGGCGACGACGGGUAGCCGGCCUGAGAGGGUGACCGGCCACACUGGGACUGAGACACGGCCCAGACUCCUACGGGAGGCAGCAGUGGGGAAUAUUGCACAAUGGGCGAAAGCCUGAUGCAGCAACGCCGCGUGAGGGACGACGGCCUUCGGGUUGUAAACCUCUUUUAGCAGGGAAGAAGCGAAAGUGACGGUACCUGCAGAAAAAGCACCGGCUAACUACGUGCCAGCAGCCGCGGUAAUACGUAGGGUGCAAGCGUUGUCCGGAAUUAUUGGGCGUAAAGAGCUCGUAGGCGGUUUGUCGCGUCUGCUGUGAAAUCCCGAGGCUCAACCUCGGGUCUGCAGUGGGUACGGGCAGACUAGAGUGCGGUAGGGGAGAUUGGAAUUCCUGGUGUAGCGGUGGAAUGCGCAGAUAUCAGGAGGAACACCGAUGGCGAAGGCAGAUCUCUGGGCCGCUACUGACGCUGAGGAGCGAAAGGGUGGGGAGCAAACAGGCUUAGAUACCCUGGUAGUCCACCCCGUAAACGUUGGGCGCUAGAUGUGGGGACCAUUCCACGGUUUCCGUGUCGUAGCUAACGCAUUAAGCGCCCCGCCUGGGGAGUACGGCCGCAAGGCUAAAACUCAAAGGAAUUGACGGGGGCCCGCACAAGCGGCGGAGCAUGCGGAUUAAUUCGAUGCAACGCGAAGAACCUUACCAAGGCUUGACAUAUACGAGAACGGGCCAGAAAUGGUCAACUCUUUGGACACUYGUAAACAGGUGGUGCAUGGUUGUCGUCAGCUCGUGUCGUGAGAUGUUGGGUUAAGUCCCGCAACGAGCGCAACCCUCGUUCUAUGUUGCCAGCACGUAAUGGUGGGAACUCAUGGGAUACUGCCGGGGUCAACUCGGAGGAAGGUGGGGACGACGUCAAAUCAUCAUGCCCCUUAUGUCUUGGGCUUCACGCAUGCUACAAUGGCCAGUACAAAGGGCUGCAAUACCGUAAGGUGGAGCGAAUCCCAAAAAGCUGGUCCCAGUUCGGAUUGAGGUCUGCAACUCGACCUCAUGAAGUCGGAGUCGCUAGUAAUCGCAGAUCAGCAACGCUGCGGUGAAUACGUUCCCGGGCCUUGUACACACCGCCCGUCAAGUCAUGAAAGUCGGUAACACCCGAAGCCAGUGGCCUAACCGCAAGGA